Non-coding RNA from Paramuricea clavata, 327 nucleotides. Lineage: Eukaryota; Metazoa; Cnidaria; Anthozoa; Malacalcyonacea; Plexauridae. The record is from the annotation of a GenBank genome assembly.
AAAAAUUUAUAUUGCGCGUGUUACAUAGAAAGAUGCUCACUCGCGCAUUACAUCAAAAUAGAAAAUUGGAAUAUUACACUAAUUUAAAAACCGUCCUACAAUAAAUCUAAGAACCUACAGGGCUGCUAUAUAUUACUUGUCCUAAUUAUGACAGCAUGGAGGAAAAUGUCUUCAUAAAAAAAUGGGUUUUAAGCAUUUUCUUAAAUGAUGCCACAUUGCAGGCGUUACGAAUUUCUGCUGGGAGGCUGUUCCACAGCGUAGGUGCAGCCACUUGGAACGAUCGGUCACCCAAAGUGGUUAAUGUUUUUGUUCCCGGUUUCUCAAGCA